GGCAGCCGCCGCGGUAACACCGGCGGCCCGAGUGGUGAUCGUGAUUAUUGGGUCUAAGGGUCCGUAGCCGGUUUGGCCAGUCCUCCGGGAAAUCUGAUAGCUCAACUAUUAGGCUUUCGGGGGAUACUGCCAGACUUGGAACCGGGAGAGGUAAGAGGUACUACAGGGGUAGGAGUGAAAUCUUGUAAUCCCUGUGGGACCACCUGUGGCGAAGGCGUCUUACCAGAACGGGUUCGACGGUGAGGGACGAAAGCUGGGGGCACGAACCGGAUUAGAUACCCGGGUAGUCCCAGCCGUAAACGAUGCUCGCUAGGUGUCAGGCAUGGCGCGACCGUGUCUGGUGCCGCAGGGAAGCCGUGAAGCGAGCCACCUGGGAAGUACGGCCGCAAGGCUGAAACUUAAAGGAAUUGGCGGGGAGCACAACAACGGGUGGAGCCCUGCGGUUUAAUUGGACUCAACGCCGGACAACUCACCGGGGGCGACAGCAAUAUGUAGGCCAAGCUGAAGACUUUGCCUGAAUCGCUGAGAAGAGGUGCAUGG
Molecule: ribosomal RNA, 540 nt
Filed under: uncultured archaeon
Lineage: Archaea
Description: bacterial SSU rRNA
Rfam family: Archaeal small subunit ribosomal RNA
Source: RNAcentral